CUGCUGUGAAAACUGGAGGCUCAACCUCCAGCCUGCAGUGGGUACGGGCAGACUAGAGUGCGGUAGGGGAGAUUGGAAUUCCUGGUGUAGCGGUGGAAUGCGCAGAUAUCAGGAGGAACACCGAUGGCGAAGGCAGAUCUCUGGGCCGUAACUGACGCUGAGGAGCGAAAGGGUGGGGAGCAAACAGGCUUAGAUACCCUGGUAGUCCACCCCGUAAACGUUGGGAACUAGUUGUGGGGGCCUUUCCACGGUCUCCGUGACGCAGCUAACGCAUUAAGUUCCCCGCCUGGGGAGUACGGCCGCAAGGCUAAAACUCAAAGGAAUUGACGGGGACCCGCACAAGCGGCGGAGCAUGCGGAUUAAUUCGAUGCAACGCGAAGAACCUUACCAAGGCUUGACAUAUACGAGAACGGGCUAGAAAUAGUCAACUCUUUGGACACUCGUAUACAGGUGGUGCAUGGUUGU
RNAcentral lists this ribosomal RNA (465 nucleotides) under Microbacterium sp. Its description in RNAcentral is "bacterial SSU rRNA". It matches the Rfam family "Bacterial small subunit ribosomal RNA", at positions 589 to 1052 of the family's 1533-position model. The record is from RNAcentral. Lineage: Bacteria; Bacillati; Actinomycetota; Actinomycetes; Micrococcales; Microbacteriaceae.